This 539-nucleotide long non-coding RNA is filed under the name Olea europaea (common olive). RNAcentral's name for it is "long non-coding RNA (OEUR_LNC010884)". Lineage: Eukaryota; Viridiplantae; Streptophyta; Magnoliopsida; Lamiales; Oleaceae. The record is from RNAcentral.
CUAUUUGGUAACUCAUCUCCCAACAGCCUUAUUUGGUCACUACUUUCAUCAGCCUAUCAGAAUAUUGUUUGACAAAUUCUGAGUCUUUCAUCUUCAAGGUUUCAUAUUCCCUUCUUAAAUUUAAAACUUGCAUUCGCCAUGUUCUUGCAUUACCUCUAAACUUAUCUUGCAAUCUAUCCGAAGCCUCCUUUGCUAUCUUACAAGGAAUAAUCCUGGUGAAUACUGCAUCAAAAUGGUAGAUUGGAUGCAGGACAAUGUGUUGAACUUCUUUGCAACCUCCUCACCGUGUUGCUUCAACUGAGAAUAGUAGAAUUUUCCCUUAGAGGAGAUGGUUCAAUACCUGAUUCCAUGGUAUCCCAUAGAUCAUAUGCUUCUAUGUAAGCCUUCAUUUUUGCAGCCCAAAAAUCAUAGAGCUGAAAAACCAAUUGAAGCCAUCACUCUCAGAUCUAAUUUUUUGCUGAAAUGGUGAAAGUGUUUUGGUGAAGCUUUCCUCACUUGUUUUCUCUCUUUUUUCUAUCUUUUUUUCUUUUAUUUUUCUU